This 434-nucleotide ribosomal RNA is filed under the name uncultured Clostridium sp. Its description in RNAcentral is "partial 16S ribosomal RNA". It matches the Rfam family "Bacterial small subunit ribosomal RNA", at positions 341 to 792 of the family's 1533-position model. The record is from RNAcentral. Lineage: Bacteria; Bacillati; Bacillota; Clostridia; Eubacteriales; Clostridiaceae.
ACGGGAGGCAGCAGUGGGGAAUAUUGGACAAUGGGGGAAACCCUGAUCUAGCGACGCCGCGUGAGUGAAGAAGUAUUUCGGUAUGUAAAGCUCUAUCAGCAGGGAAGAUAAUGACGGUACCUGACUAAGAAGCCCCGGCUAACUACGUGCCAGCAGCCGCGGUAAUACGUAGGGGGCAAGCGUUAUCCGGAUUUAUUGGGUGUAAAGGGUGCGUAGACGGGAAAUCAAGUUAGUUGUGAAAGCCCUCGGCUUAACUGAGGAACUGCAACUAAAACUAAUUUUCUUGAGUGCAGGAGAGGAAAGCGGAAUUCCUAGUGUAGCGGUGAAAUGCGUAGGUAUUAGGAGGAACACCAGUGGCGAAGGCGGCUUUCUGGACUGUAACUGACGUUGAGGCACGAAAGUGUGGGGAGCAAACAGGAUUAGAUACCCUGGUA